Molecule: non-coding RNA, 30 nt
Filed under: Mus musculus (house mouse)
Lineage: Eukaryota; Metazoa; Chordata; Mammalia; Rodentia; Muridae
Source: RNAcentral
AGAAUUUGAUCACAUGUAAUGCUUAACGUA